Molecule: unclassified non-coding RNA, 293 nt
Filed under: Hevea brasiliensis (rubber tree)
Lineage: Eukaryota; Viridiplantae; Streptophyta; Magnoliopsida; Malpighiales; Euphorbiaceae
Source: RNAcentral
GAGAUGGUCCACAACAAAUUCAGAUAUUGCGAGUAGGAGAUAAUUCCAACUACAUGUUCGUGGGAAGGGUAGCCAAAAAAUUAGAAGAUGUAAUUGCUCUGAAGGGCAAAGGAGACUUUAAGGAUGUGUUUGAGGGGACACUUCCGGAACCAGUGGUUGCAAGAAAUUAUAAACCAACCGUAGGCACUGCAACUACCUUAGACGAUGUAUGGAGCUGUCUCAGGGGGUAUGAAGUGGAGAUUGUUGGCGGGAUGGCGGGAUCGGAAAAACUACCCUCUUAACCCAAAUCAACG